Long non-coding RNA from Eriocheir sinensis (Chinese mitten crab), 776 nucleotides. RefSeq lists it as uncharacterized. Lineage: Eukaryota; Metazoa; Arthropoda; Malacostraca; Decapoda; Varunidae. The record is from RefSeq and is a predicted model, not a curated record. The transcript is spliced from 2 exons.
AAACGUGACGGAGGUUAUUAUAAAGUCACACAUUCUCAGAUCUAUUACAAACCUAUUGAAUUAUGAUUUUAAAACGUGACAAAGGUUAUUACAAAGUCACACAUUUUCAGAUCUAUUACAAACCCUAUCUGCUUUUGAUUUGAAUACGUGACAAAGGUAUUAAAUGCUACAAGAACAGUAUUAUAAACCUUUACACCCUCAGAUCUAACAUUAAACCUAUUUACUGUUAGCUUUAAAACACGUGACAAAUGUUAUACAAGUCAUCAACAGUAAGCUAAGUGACUCGUGGAGUGUAGCUAAGUAAUUGUAAGUGUUUACCUGUCUACUUCGAUCACCAAAUUAUUAACAAACACAAACAGUCAAUUAUGUCAACGAGUCGUGAAGAGAAUUGUGACUGUCUAUACCUUGUCUAUUUCCGUCUCUACUCUUACCUUUACGUUAAUUAAGUGAAGAAUCGUUAACAAAAGUGCAACUCUAAAGACUGACAAAAAAAUAUAAUAACUCUUGAUGCAUGUAAUGAGAAUUUGAACAUUGGUGUGAGUUAAUGAUUGCUGGAUUCAAGGACACACUAAAUAAUCCAAAUAAACUAAGUAAACAUAAACAAACAUACUAAACAUUGCAAGAGGGUGUGUUUUAUAAAAUCUCAACAUAUCAUUCAUUAAAACCUUCAUCUAUGUGUCUUCCUCUUAACCAACUUUGAUAAUGAAGAAGUGAGACUACGUGAAAUUAUUAAAGGGAGAUAAAAAAAUGAGUAACAAUGUAAAAAUAAAAAUAAA